RNAcentral lists this long non-coding RNA (518 nucleotides) under Sarcophilus harrisii (Tasmanian devil). Its description in RNAcentral is "lncRNA (ENSSHAG00000026720.1)". Lineage: Eukaryota; Metazoa; Chordata; Mammalia; Dasyuromorphia; Dasyuridae. The record is from RNAcentral.
CUAUGAGCUUAUGAACUUGAUACAAGGCUGGCAUAAUGGAAUAAUGGUAAUCUCUGUGGAAUAUAAAGGAGAGGCAAGUCAAAGGUGAGGAUAACUGGUGGAAACCCCACAUGCCUCUGUGAUGUUUGAAGAGAAAUAGAGAAAGAACCUUAGCAUCUUGGCUGGAUUGGCUGUCUUGAAUUUCUAGAAGAAUCUGGGUAAAAGUUGCACAGGAUGGGCAGGAUGAUUUCAGAAAGGCCUGGAGAGACUUAGACGAACUGAUGCUGAGUGAAAUGAGCAGGACCAGGAGAUCAUUAUAUACUUCAACAACAAUACUAUAUGAUGACCAAUUCUGAUGGACUUGGCCAUCCUCAGCAAUGAGAUCAACCAAAUCAUUUCCAACGGAGCAGUAAUGAACUGAACCAGCUACGCCCAGAGAAAGAACUCUGGGUGAUGACUAAAAACCAUUACAUUGAAUUCCCAAUCCCUAUAUUUAUGCCCACCUGCAUUUUUUGGUUUCCUUCACAAGCUAAUUGUAC